AUUGAACGCUGGCGGCAGGCCUAACACAUGCAAGUCGAACGGUAGCACAGAGAGCUUGCUCUCGGGUGACGAGUGGCGGACGGGUGAGUAAUGUCUGGGAAACUGCCUGAUGGAGGGGGAUAACUACUGGAAACGGUAGCUAAUACCGCAUAACGUCGCAAGACCAAAGAGGGGGACCUUCGGGCCUCUUGCCAUCAGAUGUGCCCAGAUGGGAUUAGCUAGUAGGUGGGGUAACGGCUCACCUAGGCGACGAUCCCUAGCUGGUCCGAGAGGAUGACCAGCCACACUGGAACUGAGACACGGUCCAGACUCCUACGGGAGGCAGCAGUGGGGAAUAUUGCACAAUGGGCGCAAGCCUGAUGCAGCCAUGCCGCGUGUAUGAAGAAGGCCUUCGGGUUGUAAAGUACUUUCAGCGGGGAGGAAGGUGUUGUGGUUAAUAACCACAGCAAUUGACGUACC
This 459-nucleotide ribosomal RNA is filed under the name uncultured bacterium. Its description in RNAcentral is "bacterial SSU rRNA". It matches the Rfam family "Bacterial small subunit ribosomal RNA", at positions 30 to 479 of the family's 1533-position model. The record is from RNAcentral.